GUUCAACUCCAGUCAAGGCUUUGGUGAGGAUGUCUGCCAAUUGAGCAUGAGUAGGAACAUAAGUCAAAUUGAUCAACCCUUCUUGAAGUUUGGCUCGUACAAAAUGACAAUCCACUUCAAUGUGCUUGGUCCGUUCAUGGAAAACAGAAUUUCUAGCUAUAUGGAGAGCUCAUUGGCUAUCACAAAAGACAGUGACAGGCUUUGGAAAUGGGACAGCUAGCUCCUCGAGUAAUCUGCACAACCAAGUGAGUUCACCAACAACAUUUCGGAGAGAUCUAUACUCUGCCUCGGCUGAAGAAAGGGAGACAGUUUCUUGUUUCUUGGACUUCCAACUUAUGGGACUAUCUCCCAAGAGAACUAUGUAGCCACUGACUGACUUUCUGGAGUCUGAACAAGCAACCCAAUCGGAGUCACAGUAGGCCUGGAUAGUGCAGUCUGGAUCAUUAGAGAAGAAGAUUUCCAGUGUAGGAUCACUUUUCAGAUAUCGUAACAAGUGAAAAGCAGCCUUAAGAUGAGGUUCUCUGGGGUCUUGCAUAAAUUGGCUAAGGUGUUGGACUCCAUAAGCAAUGUCCAACCUGGUAUUAGUAAGGAAGUUCAGCUUUCCAACGAGCUUCCUAUAAUAUUUAGGGUCAUUCAAGACAGCACCAACCUAAGCCUGCAACUUAACAGAGGGAUCAAGGGGGGAUGACAGUCCACUGUAGGACAUACAGUCAUAUUCUUUGAGAAGAUCAAGAGCAUACUUCCUUAGUGAGAUGAGAACCCCAUCAGUUUUAUAAAGAACCUCUAAGCCCAGAAAGUAGUGUAAUCUGCCAAGAUCUUUGAUUUUGAAGGUGUUAUGUAGGAAGCUUUUCAACUGAUUGACCUCCUCCAUGUCUGUCCCUGUGAUAAGCACAUCAUCAACAUAGACAGCUAUGUACAUAGUGGAGGAGUCUGUUCUUUUGCAAAAUAAGGAAUAAUCAUGGAGGGAAUGCACAUAGGCUCUGGAGUAUAAUGCCUCGGCUAGCUUGGCAUACCAUUGCCUACUAGCUUGCUUCAACCCAUAGAGAGAUUUGUUCAGUCUACAAACAACACCUGGAGUGGGCACCUCAAGGCCCGGGGGAAUUUCCAUGUAGACUUCCUCAUGCAAGUCCCCAUGGAGGAAUGCGCUAUUGACAUCAAGUUGAGAAAUGAUCCACUUCCUCUUUACUGCAGUGGCAAUAAGGGCCCUAACUGUAGUUAACUUCACAAGAAGUGAGAAAGUUUCAGUAUAGUCCCAUAAGAAAUUGGAUCAAGCGCCUAUCCUGCUCUGCCUUGUAUAAUUUUUCCUUGGCACCACAAUUACACUGGCAAUUGCACUGUGCUUUCAUACUCAGAUUACUCAAUUCUUUCCAAAGUUUCUUCAUUUUGGUGUAAUAAUUCGUGAUAUCGAGAGCUCCCUGAGUCAGAUCAUUUAUCUAUUUCUGGAUUUGAAACAGUCUAGCACCAUUAGUUUGCUCGUAACGAUCUUCCAAUUCUGAUGCCAUGUCAAGAUGAUGAGAGCUCAAGGUAAGCAACAAUGGAGUUCUGUGAUGAGCUCCAUGACAACGGAUGAGAAAGAGAGCUACAGAUAUUUGAGAGAUGGAAAAUGUACUGUAUAUUCACAUUAUAUGUAGAAGGUUCCAGAUAUGUACAUGUAUAUAUAGACACACGUGUGUCUCACCUAAUGCCACAACUACUUCUAACUAACUAAUGUAUUAGUUACAACUAAUCACUACUAAUACAUAAAUACAUAUAGUUCAAUAGAACCAAAUAGCAAUAUAAAGAUACAAGAACCAUAGACUGACUUCAUUUAGACCAAGCAACAAAUUCUAGGAAAAAUUCUAUCAAGGCUGAAUUGAAAAAUAUAGCUUCAGUGCAAAACGAAAUAGCCUUGCCACGCUCAAAAAUACAAAUUCACUGUCAUCCGUUAUAAAGUUGACAGAGAGACUAGAUACAGCAAUAUAAAGAUACAAGAACCAUAGACUGACUUCAUUUAUGAUAAAUUCUUGAACCAAUUAGACAAAGCAUAAAGCAACAUCAAGGAUUAAUUUCACUCACCUGCAACUGGCAUACAUCUUGACAUAAAGGUCGUUAUAAAAAAUACAAUGUUAAGGGCAGC
RNAcentral lists this long non-coding RNA (2116 nucleotides) under Nicotiana tabacum (common tobacco). RNAcentral's name for it is "long non-coding RNA (NTAB_LNC011926)". The record is from RNAcentral. Lineage: Eukaryota; Viridiplantae; Streptophyta; Magnoliopsida; Solanales; Solanaceae.